Molecule: ribosomal RNA, 252 nt
Filed under: uncultured bacterium
Lineage: Bacteria
Description: partial 16S ribosomal RNA
Rfam family: Bacterial small subunit ribosomal RNA
Source: RNAcentral
UACGGAGGGGGCGAGCGUUGUCCGAAGUUACUGGGCGUAAAGCGCGCGUAGGCGGGCUGGCAAGUCUGCUGUGAAAGCCUGCGGCUUAACCGCAGAGGGUCGGUGGAUACUGCCAGUCUUGAAGGUGCUAGGGAGAGAUGGAAUUACCGGUGUAGCGGUGAAAUGCGUAGAGAUCGGUAGGAACACCAGUGGCGAAGGCGGUCUCUUGGAGCACUCUUGACGCUGAGGCGCGAAAGCUGGGGGAGCAAACGG